AUUGAACGCUGGCGGCAUGCCUUACACAUGCAAGUCGAACGGCAGCACGGAGCUUGCUCUGGUGGCGAGUGGCGAACGGGUGAGUAAUAUAUCGGAACGUACCCAAGAGUGGGGGAUAACGUAGCGAAAGUUACGCUAAUACCGCAUACGAUCUAAGGAUGAAAGCAGGGGAUCGCAAGACCUUGUGCUCCUGGAGCGGCCGAUAACUGAUUAGCCAGUUGGUGAGGUAAAGGCUCACCAAGGCAUCGAUCAGUAGCUGGUCUGAGAGGACGACCAGCCACACUGGAACUGAGACACGGUCCAGACUCCUACGGGAGGCAGCAGUGGGGAAUUUUGGACAAUGGGGGCAACCCUGAUCCAGCAAUGCCGCGUGAGUGAAGAAGGCCUUCGGGUUGUAAAGCUCUUUUGUCAGGGAAGAAACGGUGAAGGCUAAUAUCCUUUGCUAAUGACGGUACCUGAAGAAUAAGCACCGGCUAACUACGUGCCAGCCGCCGCCGUAA
RNAcentral lists this ribosomal RNA (500 nucleotides) under uncultured bacterium. Its description in RNAcentral is "partial 16S ribosomal RNA". It matches the Rfam family "Bacterial small subunit ribosomal RNA", at positions 30 to 523 of the family's 1533-position model. The record is from RNAcentral.